GACGAACGCUGGCGGCGUGCUUAACACAUGCAAGUCGAACGGACGGGCCCUGCUCUCAGGGUACUCGAGUGGCCAACGGGUGAGUAACACGUGGGUGAAUUGCCUUCCUCUUCGGGUUAAGUCAGGUAAACUGGGCCUAACACCGGACAGGUGCUAUUUUUAGCGUGAUGGUUGGAAAGUUUUUUCCGUGCGGGAUGAGCUCGCGGCCUAUCUGCUUGUUGGUGGGGUAAUGUCCUACCAAGGCGGCUACGGGUAGCCGGCCUGAGUGGGUGGACGGCGACAUUGGGACUGAGAUGCGGCCCAGGCAGCUACGGGUGGCAGCAGUGGGGAAUACUGCACGAGGGGCGCAAGGCUGAUGAUGCGGCGCCGCGGAGGGGAAGACGGCCUUCGGGUUGAAAACUCCUUGCGCAAGGAACGGAGCUUUUUGUGACGGUACCUAGAUAGGAAGCACCGGCUAACUACGUG
Molecule: ribosomal RNA, 465 nt
Filed under: uncultured bacterium
Lineage: Bacteria
Description: partial 16S ribosomal RNA
Rfam family: Bacterial small subunit ribosomal RNA
Source: RNAcentral